This 876-nucleotide ribosomal RNA is filed under the name uncultured Nitrososphaerota archaeon. RNAcentral describes it as "bacterial SSU rRNA". It matches the Rfam family "Archaeal small subunit ribosomal RNA", at positions 21 to 903 of the family's 1478-position model. The record is from RNAcentral. Lineage: Archaea; Thermoproteati; Nitrososphaerota.
ACCUGACUGCUAUCGGAUUGAUACUAAGCCAUGCGAGUCAUUGUAGCAAUACAAGGCAGACGGCUCAGUAACGCGUAGUCAACCUAACCUAUGGACGGGAAUAACCUCGGGAAACUGAGAAUAAUGCCCGAUAGAACACUAUACCUGGAAUGGUUUGUGUUCCAAAUGAUUUAUCGCCGUAGGGUGGGACUGCGGCCUAUCAGUUUGUUGGUGAGGUAAUGGCCCACCAAGACUAUUACAGGUACGGGCUCUGAGAGGAGUAGCCCGGAGAUGGGUACUGAGACACGGACCCAGGCCCUAUGGGGCGCAGCAGGCGAGAAAACUUUGCAAUGUGCGAAAGCACGACAAGGUUAAUCCGAGUGGUUUGUGCUAAACAGACCUUUUGUUAGUCCUAGAAACACUAACGAAUAAGGGGUGGGCAAGUUCUGGUGUCAGCCGCCGCGGUAAAACCAGCACCUCAAGUGGUCAGGAUGAUUAUUGGGCCUAAAGCAUCCGUAGCCGGCUCUGUAAGUUUUCGGUUAAAUCUGUAUGCUCAACAUACAGGCUGCCGGGAAUACUGCAGAGCUAGGGAGUGGGAGAGGUAGACGGUACUCGGUAGGAAGGGGUAAAAUCCUUUGAUCUAUUGAUGACCACCUGUGGCGAAGGCGGUCUACCAGAACACGUCCGACGGUGAGGGAUGAAAGCUGGGGGAGCAAACCGGAUUAGAUACCCGGGUAGUCCCAGCUGUAAACUAUGCAAACUCAGUGAUGCAUUGGCUUGUGGUCAAUGCAGUGCUGCAGGGAAGCCGUUAAGUUUGCCGCCUGGGAAGUACGUACGCAAGUAUGAAACUUAAAGGAAUUGGCGGGGGAGCACCACAAGGGGUGAAGCCUGCGGUUC